UAUUCUCAGAGAUAAAAAGGAUGCAUAAAUCUGUGCAAAUUAAACGUAAUGGAUAAGUCCAACUUGAAAAGUAAACAAAUGAGUGAUAAAAUAUGAAUAAUUUUUUUAUAUUAAGUUGGAUGUAUUUUUGGAUAAUAACAUAAAACUGGAGAUUCAGAUAUUUUCUAUUUUCCAGAUUCUGCCCCAAGUAAUAAAAUGCUAUUUACCGUGGUGAUGUCCUUCUAAUUUCAUAUUCUAUUACUUUCCUCUGUCAUCUCUUCUAGGAAUAAUGAUUUUUUGCUAACCUAGUUGAAUCUUCUGAGGUUUGAACCAACUGUCUUUACUCUUUUGAAUGAGUUUAAUUUGCACUGCUACUUUUUCUUUUUGCCAACUCUUUGAAGAUUGCAAUCAACUGCUUUUUGGCCGUCACUGUACAUUUUCAAGUUACUGAUUCACUUGCUAUGUGGUAUAUAAAUGAAGCUUACAAAUGCAAUUUCUUUGGUUCUUUGGUUUUUUUUUCCUCUUCCCCUUCCCUAUCUGAUGUCCCAGCUAUUCUAACUCUACAUUCACAAUAUCUUGGCCCAUUAGCAGCUAGGAUCUUUUUUGAGCACAGCGAACUAUAUUUCCUUGCUCUAAUGAAGCACGCAGAAUGUAACUGCUAUCUCCUCAGCAGGCUUCCCUUUUUAAGGAGGGCAGAGCAAAUGUUCUCUGAGAGCAGAGAGUUCUCUUAACGAGCUCUAAGGGACUGUCCACACAGGAUGGCUGCAUCCAUAUGAAAUGAAACAGUUCACUUCUGCUGGGUCAGCUGCUCGUGUCUGCACAGAGCCCUUCUGGCCUUUGGAAUGGGCAUGUUGUCUCUUGUUUUGAGCGUUGGUUAGUUUAGUGCAUUGGUGACUGGAUCACACAGUCAGCUCUGCUUUCGAACACCAUUUUGCAUUCCCCGAAAUGGAAGACUCACAGAUUUUGAAAAGUUGACAGACUGGGUGAAGGUCAUAAAAAAUCCUGAUUAGAAAUAGAAAUUGAAUGCAGAAGCCAUCUCUGAAUGAAGUUUCUUAAAGAUGUGCUGUUACAUGGAAGGUUGGGAGACAAAGCUUGGGCUGUUUUUUGCUGUAGCCUGGGGCAAGGGCAUGGAUUAGGGACAUAAUUUCAGGUGAAGUCUGGGAGCCAGAAUCCCACCUGAAUGUGGAAUUUUUAAAAUAGCUAGGCGAGGACCUGAAACUAACACAACUUUAUAAAUCAACUAUACUC
This 1227-nucleotide long non-coding RNA is filed under the name Sus scrofa (pig). Its description in RNAcentral is "lncRNA (ENSSSCG00040004788.1)". The record is from RNAcentral. Lineage: Eukaryota; Metazoa; Chordata; Mammalia; Artiodactyla; Suidae.